UACGGAGGAGGCAAACGUUGUUCGGAAUCAUUGGGCUUAAAGCGCGUGUAGGCGGAGUGGUAGGCGCGUUCGUGAAAGCCCCCGGCUCAACCGGGGAAUUGCGGGGCGAACCCUCACUCUUGAGGCAGGUAGAGGCGAGCGGAACUAUGGGUGGAGCGGUGAAAUGCGUAGAGAUCCAUGGGAACGCCGGUGGCGAAAGCGACUCGCUGGGCCUGUGCUGACGCUGAGACGCGAAAGCGUAGGGAGCAAACAGGAUUAGAUACCCCCGUA
Molecule: ribosomal RNA, 270 nt
Filed under: uncultured prokaryote
Description: partial 16S ribosomal RNA
Rfam family: Bacterial small subunit ribosomal RNA
Source: RNAcentral